AUUGAACGCUGGCGGCAGGCCUAACACAUGCAAGUCGAGCGGAUGAAGGGAGCUUGCUCCUGGAUUCAGCGGCGGACGGGUGAGUAAUGCCUAGGAAUCUGCCUGGUAGUGGGGGAUAACGUCCGGAAACGGGCGCUAAUACCGCAUACGUCCUGAGGGAGAAAGUGGGGGAUCUUCGGACCUCACGCUAUCAGAUGAGCCUAGGUCGGAUUAGCUAGUUGGUGGGGUAAAGGCCUACCAAGGCGACGAUCCGUAACUGGUCUGAGAGGAUGAUCAGUCACAAGGGAAAUGAGACACGGCCAAGACCCCUAGGGGAGGCAGAAGGGGGGAAUAUGGGAAAAGGGGAGAAAGCCUGAUCCAGCCAGGCCGGGUGGGGGAAGAAGGUCUGCGGUUGGUAAAGAAAUUUAAGUGGGGGGGAAGGGAAGUAAGUUAAAACCUUGCUGUUUGGAAGUUAAAAAAAAAAAAAGCACCGGCAAACUUCGU
This 483-nucleotide ribosomal RNA is filed under the name uncultured bacterium. RNAcentral describes it as "partial 16S ribosomal RNA". It matches the Rfam family "Bacterial small subunit ribosomal RNA", at positions 29 to 506 of the family's 1533-position model. The record is from RNAcentral.